UACGUAGGGGGCAAGCGUUGUCCGGAUUUAUUGGGCGUAAAGAGCGUGUAGGCGGUUAGGUAGGUCCGUUGUGAAAACUCGAGGCUCAACCUCGAGACGCCGAUGGAAACCAUCUGACUAGAGUCCGGAAGAGGAGGGUGGAAUUCCUGGUGUAGCGGUGAAAUGCGCAGAUAUCAGGAAGAACACCCGUGGCUAAGGCGGCUCUCUAGUACGUGACUGACGCUGAGACGCGAAAGCGUGGGGAGCGAACAGG
Molecule: ribosomal RNA, 253 nt
Filed under: uncultured bacterium
Lineage: Bacteria
Description: partial 16S ribosomal RNA
Rfam family: Bacterial small subunit ribosomal RNA
Source: RNAcentral